CAAUGAGCUCUCCAUGGCUGGAAACCGUCUUGCAUUUUUGCCACUUGAUUUAGGUCGAUCUCGAGAACUACAAUAUGUAUAUGUGGAUAACAACAUUCACCUGAAAGGCUUGCCAUCUUAUCUGUACAAUAAAGUCAUCGGGUGCAGUGGGUGGCAAAUAAAGUGCCUGCAAUCACCAUGGUACAUAGAACGAUGCAAGCAAGCUCCAAAGCUGAAGGCACUUUUUCCCACACCAAAACCUUCAGAGACCACACUGAAAUGCGAUCUGCAUCUCUGCCACAAUUAAGGAGUAGCUUUUGUUUAAGAAAAAGUGCCUUAUACUUUGUCGUUUAGAUAUAGAUGUUAUUGACUACUAGAAAGUUCUGUUUGUGCUAAGUAGAGAGAGAUUUUUAAAUCUUUGACUUGGUGUCUGGUAGCAGUGGUAGUGAAUUUGAUGAGAACUCCAAAUCUUUUUAAAAAAACAAAACACUAGGGGAAAAUACACAAAUUAUUAG
Molecule: small RNA, 494 nt
Filed under: Pan troglodytes (chimpanzee)
Lineage: Eukaryota; Metazoa; Chordata; Mammalia; Primates; Hominidae
Description: processed transcript
Source: RNAcentral